AGGUUCUGAAUUUUGUCUCAUUGCCAAAGACCUAUCAAUACCCCCAUGAAGAACUUACAGAUUGUUGGAGUGGAAAGGUUCAUCAUGAAAUAUACAUAUUCAUGACUCAGACCGUUGAAUUUCUGCAAGUAUAACCACAAAUUCCUUGAGAUAGAGCAACCUUAAUAAGCUAAUCUUAAAUACAGUUGAGUUCAAUAAAAUCAAAAUGUAAUAUAAUGGUCCAAGGUUCCAUGUCAGCUAAAAAAAAAACAUCUAGAAAGACUACUGAGAAAGCGACAGAGCAUUGACUACGGUUGCAAAACAAGGUACUUCUAAAUUCCUCUC
This is a long non-coding RNA of Populus euphratica (Euphrates poplar), 324 nucleotides long. RefSeq lists it as uncharacterized. The record is from RefSeq and is a predicted model, not a curated record. The transcript is spliced from 2 exons. NCBI's taxonomy places the organism in Eukaryota, Viridiplantae, Streptophyta, Magnoliopsida, Malpighiales, Salicaceae.